This 161-nucleotide small nuclear RNA is filed under the name Mastacembelus armatus (zig-zag eel). RNAcentral describes it as "U1 spliceosomal RNA (ENSMAMG00000001343.2)". It matches the Rfam family "U1 spliceosomal RNA". Rfam says of the family: U1 is a small nuclear RNA (snRNA) component of the spliceosome (involved in pre-mRNA splicing). Its 5' end forms complementary base pairs with the 5' splice junction, thus defining the 5' donor site of an intron. The record is from Rfam by way of RNAcentral. Lineage: Eukaryota; Metazoa; Chordata; Actinopteri; Synbranchiformes; Mastacembelidae.
AAAUUUACCAGGCAGGGGAGAUACCAUGAUUAAGAACGUGAUUCACCCAGGGCGAGGCUCAGCUAUCGUGCGGUUGUGCUGACCCCUGCAAAUUCCCCAAAUGAGAGAAUCUCGACUGCAUAAUUUCUGGUAGUGAGGGACUGGUUUUGCGCUCUCCUGAA